GGGUAAUAAAACCUAAAGGCAAAACAAAAGUAAAGAAAGCUUUGCUUUUUAAGGGAAGAUGGUUAAAUUUUAGCCCGCACUCCUGGGGCGUUAAUUACUCAUUGCGAGUAAAGGCGCACCUAGAGCAUACAUGUUGGGUCCCGAAAGAUGGUGAACUAUACCUGACCAGGAUGAAGCCAGGGGAAACCCUGGUGGAGGUCCGUAGCGAUUCUGACGUGCAAAUCGAUCGUCAGAGUUAGGUAUAGGGGCGAAAGACUAAUCGAACCAUCUAGUAGCUGGUUCCCUCCGAAGUUUCCCUCGGAUAGCUGUGCCGAUAUGAUCACGCCCGGCG
Molecule: ribosomal RNA, 331 nt
Filed under: Nannocoris sp. CR 4259
Lineage: Eukaryota; Metazoa; Arthropoda; Insecta; Hemiptera; Schizopteridae
Description: eukaryotic LSU rRNA
Rfam family: Eukaryotic large subunit ribosomal RNA
Source: RNAcentral